Molecule: ribosomal RNA, 505 nt
Filed under: uncultured bacterium
Lineage: Bacteria
Description: partial 16S ribosomal RNA
Rfam family: Bacterial small subunit ribosomal RNA
Source: RNAcentral
GACGAACGCUGGCGGCGUGCCUAAUACAUGCAAGUAGAACGCACAGUUUAUACCGUAGCUUGCUACACCAUAAACUGUGAGUUGCGAACGGGUGAGUAACGCGUAGGUAACCUGCCUGGUAGCGGGGGAUAACUAUUGGAAACGAUAGCUAAUACCGCAUAAUAUUUAUUAUUGCAUGAUAAUUGAUUGAAAGAUGCUAUUGCAUCACUACCAGAUGGACCUGCGUUGUAUUAGCUAGUAGGUGAGGUAACGGCUCACCUAGGCGACGAUACAUAGCCGACCUGAGAGGGUGAUCGGCCACACUGGGACUGAGACACGGCCCAGACUCCUACGGGAGGCAGCAGUAGGGAAUCUUCGGCAAUGGACGAAAGUCUGACCGAGCAACGCCGCGUGAGUGAAGAAGGUUUUCGGAUCGUAAAGCUCUGUUGUAAGAGAAGAACGGGUGUGAGAGUGGAAAGUUCACACUGUGACGGUAUCUUACCAGAAAGGGACGGCUAACUACGUG